RNAcentral lists this long non-coding RNA (856 nucleotides) under Homo sapiens (human). RNAcentral describes it as "HSALNT0194305". Lineage: Eukaryota; Metazoa; Chordata; Mammalia; Primates; Hominidae. The record is from RNAcentral.
CAUUGGGUAUUUAAUCAUUUUAAAAAUCUACUCAGGCAUCAUUUGUAUAAUAGUAAUAAUAAUUUAAUCCCCCUUAUUUCUCAUGUCUCAUGCCUUAUCCAUCAUCCCUCAUAUCCUACUCUUAGCCCAGAUUUUCCUUGACAGCUUUAUUUUCUUGGAGGGCAGGUAUGGGGAACCAAAUUUGUUUCCUUACCCUAGCUCUAGCCAUUUCCACAAAAGCUUUUAUAGAUAAUGUCCAUUUUGCUUAUUAUUUUUAGUUUAACCAAUACUUAAUAUGUGCCCACAGCUCACUACCUAGGCCCUGAUUUAGGCAUUAGGAAUAAAAACUAUCUCGACUUAGUUAAAACCACCAGAUGCAUUGCUUGAAAACCUGUUCUGCCACUUAAUAGCUGUGUGAUUUGAGCAGGUUACUUAACCUCUCCAUUUGAAAGCAAACAUUUAUUGGGCUCCUGUUACACAUUAGGACUGGAGAUACAGUAUUAAAACAAGUACCUGUUCAUGAAACUUACAUUCUAAUGGGAAAAGAUCAUUGAUUAAUAUACAACAGGUAGUGAUAAGUGCUAUGAAAAUAAUGCACUUAUAAAAAGAAUAAAGAAUGACAGCAGAUGGGGUAUGAAUGUGGGGGCAUAUGGCCUAUUUUAGAAAGCAUAGUCAGGGAAUGUGUCUCUCAUCAGAUGAUAUUUGAGGAGAGACCUGCAGGAAGUGAGCCAGCCAGCCAUGAGGUUGUGUAUGGACAAGAGUUGCAGGAAGAGGCAGUGGUGUGCUGGUGCUGGCUUGCAUUUGUUCUGAUGGCAUGCAUCUCUUCCCAAACUCUGUAUUCAGUGAAGAGGAAGAAUAAGGACAGAGGCCCUGAGGC